Molecule: long non-coding RNA, 1034 nt
Filed under: Sparus aurata (gilthead seabream)
Lineage: Eukaryota; Metazoa; Chordata; Actinopteri; Spariformes; Sparidae
Description: lncRNA (ENSSAUG00010000726.1)
Source: RNAcentral
UAUGUUGCUAUGGGAACAGAGUCAUCAUCUCCAAAUCACUUAUGAAACUAUCUACCAUUUCUUGUCUUCAUUAGAAUAAAUCAGUCUUACCAUGAUGUUGGACAAACCUAAUUUAACAAAUUUAGAAAAACACCCUAUGUCAGUCUUCUGCCCCCUGGUGGACAUGUGGUGAAUUACAGCAUGCAUUGCUGAUGUAUUGCUCUCUCUCUCUCUCUCCCUCCCUCUCUCUCUCUCUCUCUUCUGUGUGAGCCCCAUCUUAUGUUUGUUGUCUGUUUGUGAAGGGUGAUGGGACUGGUAUCUGCAGCAUCUACGGGGGCCCAUUUGCAGAUGAAAACUUCAAAUACAAGCAUUCUGCGCCUGGUCUUCUGUCCAUGGCGAACAGUGGACCAGGGACAAAUGGUUGUCAGUUCUUCAUUACCUGCGCUAAAUGCGACUGGUUAGAUGGAAAGCAUGUUGUCUUUGGUGAGUCAAUCAACAGUAUCACUUCACAUCUAUUCAGAGGUCUAAUUUAAAUUUUAAAUUGUUUUGUGCCAUAGUUCAAGUGUCUGUUUUACGACUGUUUCACUGAGACCCUACACAGGAACCUGGAGCCUGUGCAAAGGUGCGCAGAUGUCCUAGGGUGAAGAGACUCUAUACAUUCUGUAUUACAUACAGAUUUGUGGCCACUGUGUACCUCCAGGCCGAUGUUUUGCUCCACCUGCCUGUCUAAAAUCUUCCAAAAAGCACAAGUACAUUUGUUAUAUAUCAAAGAGCAAAUAUGAUAGAUGCACAUAAUUGUUUGCAUUUACUUAAUGGCAGGAAAUCUCUUUUUAGAUGCAGCUUCCUGUGACAAUCCGGACUCUUAGAAAUAUCAGAGAGGCUGGACAGACUCCACUCCCUGGAUCCUUCUCGUCUUGCCUCCAUCAGGACCUUGAUGACUUGGAGCCUACAACAUACAGCAUGAGGAGGACAUGAACAGGAGAAGGUGAGAGGACCAACAUGUGUAAAGGGAGGGGCAGUGGGCCAGAUUCCAGCGAGAGGUAAAUGCUAACAGA